UUGCAGUGUCUGGAAUUUGCAUCCUGCA
RNAcentral lists this non-coding RNA (28 nucleotides) under Homo sapiens (human). The record is from RNAcentral. Lineage: Eukaryota; Metazoa; Chordata; Mammalia; Primates; Hominidae.